UACGUAGGGUGCAAGCGUUAAUCGGAAUUACUGGGCGUAAAGGGCUCGUAGGUGGCCAACUAAGUCAGACGUGAAAUCCCCAGGCUCAACUUGGGAACUGCGUCUGAUACUGGAUGGCUUGAAUUCGGGAGAGGGAUGCAGAAUUCCAGGUGUAGCGGUGAAAUGCGUAGAUAUCUGGAGGAAUACCGGUGGCGAAGGCGGCAUCCUGGACCGAUAUUGACACUGAUGAGCGAAAGCUAGGGGAGCAAACGGG
RNAcentral lists this ribosomal RNA (253 nucleotides) under uncultured bacterium. RNAcentral describes it as "partial 16S ribosomal RNA". It matches the Rfam family "Bacterial small subunit ribosomal RNA", at positions 524 to 776 of the family's 1533-position model. The record is from RNAcentral.